GAUGAACGCUGGCGGCAUGCCUAACACAUGCAAGUCGAUCGGUAAGGCUCUUCGGAGUACACGAGAGGCGGACGGCUGAGUAACGCGUAGGAACACACCCUGCAGUGAGGGAUAAGACACCGAAAGGUGUUCUAAUACCGCAUACGGUCUUCGGAUUAAAGCAUUUAUGCGCUGAAGGAGUGGCCUGCGUCAUAUUAGAUAGUUGGUGAGGUAAUGGCUCAUCAAGUCGAUGAUGUGUAGCUGGUCUGAGAGGAUGAUCAGCCAGACUGGAACUGAGACACGGUCCAGACUCCUACGGGAGGCAGCAGUGAGGAAUAUUUCACAAUGAGCGAAAGCUUGAUGGAGCAAUGCCGCGUGCAGGAUGAAGGCCCUCGGGUUGUAAACUGCUUUUAUAAGAGAAGAUUAUGACGGUAACUUAUGAAUAAGGGACGGCUAACUACGUG
RNAcentral lists this ribosomal RNA (443 nucleotides) under uncultured bacterium. RNAcentral describes it as "partial 16S ribosomal RNA". It matches the Rfam family "Bacterial small subunit ribosomal RNA", at positions 28 to 507 of the family's 1533-position model. The record is from RNAcentral.